AGUUAAGAAAUGACUGACUAAGUACCGGAUGAUGAACGAAAGUCCAAAGAUUUAUCGCCGAGGGAUGAGCCCGCGUAGGAUUAGCUAGUUGGUGAGGUAAAGGCUCACCAAGGCGACGAUCCUUAGCUGGUCUGAGAGGAUGAUCAGCCACACUGGGACUGAGACACGGCCCAGACUCCUACGGGAGGCAGCAGUGGGGAAUAUUGGACAAUGGGCGAAAGCCUGAUCCAGCAAUGCCGCGUGAGUGAUGAAGGCCUUAGGGUCGUAAAGCUCUUUUACCAGGGAUGAUAAUGACAGUACCUGGAGAAUAAGCUCCGGCUAACUCCGUG
This 329-nucleotide ribosomal RNA is filed under the name uncultured bacterium. Its description in RNAcentral is "bacterial SSU rRNA". It matches the Rfam family "Bacterial small subunit ribosomal RNA", at positions 146 to 507 of the family's 1533-position model. The record is from RNAcentral.